GCCGGCUUCAGCUACCUGGAGGGCUCAGUGGAAGCCGACACCUCCCCAUGAUGCGGGGUAAAUGAGGUGCAGACGCCCCUCCCUCCCUGUGCCCCACACCUAGGGGGCAUCCUCCUCAGACCUUGGGCUGGGGCCGGGGUCCCUAGGAAACUGGCCUCCCUUUUAACACUAACCAGCUCGUGUGUACACAAGGGGUUGCCACCUGGGGGGGCCACAGGGUUCAACCCAAGGAUGUUUCCUCUGUCCUGUGGUAGUUUCAAAUUUUGGACAUUCCACUCGCAAAUCUGGAUUUCCUUCUCCUCAAGAGUCAGAAGCUCUGGCACUCCAGGCCCUUACCCUCUUGGCAGCAACUGGACGACCCGAUGUGUGGCGUCCCCUUAGGGCAGGCCUGGGCGCUCUGUUCCCACAGUCCCCGCAAACUCUUCACUGUGCCCCAUCUGGCCUGCCGGACCCUGUAGGCUGCCCGUUUGAGGACCCUGCUGGAGCAUCCAGGGUACAGAGGGUGGGUGACCUGACCAGUCCCCGGCUAGCCCAGGCAUUCUCACUCCUGUGCGGCUGCUCCCUCCACUGCCCCUGCAGCCUCUCACCAAGGAGGGACUUUGGGGUCCGGGUGAUGGAGGUGAGGUUAGCAAUGGCCUCUGGAAGGCUGGGGACCUGGCCACUGCCAAGAGCAGGAACAGCCAGAUGGUCCGUUCUGUGGUUGGGGGGCAUUAAGUCAAACUCACAUCCCCAGGCCCAGGUCCAGCGUCCAGGGCAGAGCUCUGGGAGCUUCUGAGGCUUUGCCACCACCAUGGUGGGGUGGCUUCCCCACCCUGUGGGUGCCCCCCAGGGAUCAGGCCACGCAGAGGGCUGGAGGCUUUGUCUCAGGCAAAGGGAGGGAGGUGUGCAGAGAAACCAGCUGGGGACGCGAGGGCUGGGCCUGGGCCUGUGGACAGAGGCAAGGGAAGACACCAGUGUCCCCAUCCCUGUGCUCCCCAGGGACAAGGCCCCACAGGGCUGGGCUCCUUCUCCUCCCCAGGGCUGACCACAGCUGCCAUGUUGUGUCCCCCAGCUCCUGUCAUGGCGGAUUGACACCGGCUGCUCUGGCACAGCUGCCACAGGCAGCACAGACAGGGUAGUGGUGGCCAGAGGUCCUGCUCAGGAUGGUCACCGGGGAUGGCCACAGGAAAGCCGCUCAGGAGCAAGCAUGGGCGUCGGCUCUUCUCAUUUCUCCCCAGGAUGUAGGCAGGCCAGCUGUGCACACUCCAGCAGAGCGGUUGAAGUUCCAUCGAGUCUUGAGGCUCAGUGCCAGGGGUCUUACUUUUUAACAGAAACUGCAGCGAGGCCGGCAGGAGGACGGGUGCACGGCUGCGGCCCCAACAGUGGGCUCCUGUGUGCCGACUGCAUUCAGCGCAGCUCCACACGCGGGGGUAAAUCCACGGGCUCUGCGGUUGCCUGGCCACAGGGACCAUAAAUUGUGACACUUGCGGUCAUGGAAGUGCCGAGUGAUAAAAACUCGACGUCACAAAGUGUCCUUAACCUGCUGCUGCCUCAUCUUUCUCAUUUGUGACUUGGUUAAAGAAAAUUUUUUUGUAACAGUUUCAGGCUCUUCUUUUUCGUUUCCUCAGUCUGCUGCAGAACCCCUUCAGUCAGGGAGGGAAAAGCAACCAAGCCAAUCUGGUCUCCUUGUUGGCACCUCUGUGAGGCCAGCUGGCUAGAGGGAGGGGGCCCGAUGGCGGAGGGAGAGGGCGAUGCUGGGGUCCCAGCAGCCCCCAAAGCAGGCGGGGCCCUCUCCUCGAAGAAGCUCACCUUUAACCUCCAAGCCCAGCCGACAGGCCCCCUGAUUGUGCAGUAGAUUACAAAUCGCACAAGAACCCAGAGCAGACAACAGACACAGGAGAAACACAGCCCUUGCCCCCAAAUCUGCGCUCCAUGAACCAGCUAUUUGGGGCCCAGAAGCUCCCAGGAACUGAAGUCUGAAGGUGGUGAGAAUCCAGGCAUGAGGCCAAGUCUGAGCUCCACUGGCUACUGGCCCGGGGACUUUGGGCAAGUCAUUUCUCUCUGAGCCUCAGUUUCCCCAGUUUGGAGAGAGUGGUGGCGGUAAACAAUAGCCCCAGCCUCACAAGGCCAAGCCGGGCAGGAGAUGCGCUAGAGUGCUCUGGCUCUGGCACAGGGUCUGCCCCCCCCGCCCUCCCCCCAGUCCCUGCAACUCACCAAGGAGGGGCUCCUCCGGUGGGGAAAGUGGCACAGGGGCAGAGAGACCAGAACCCCGCUCCCCACCCUUUUCCCGGGCAGCAUGGGAGACUGGUACCUUUGGGAGAGGUGCUCAGAGCUACAGGGUUGCGGCACUCCAAACGGGAGGGUCUGGCUUCACGGCUACCCCAGCUGGUUCAGGGACAGGCCUCCUCCCUUCAUCGGCAGAGCCCAGUGGGCACGGCAGCCCUCGAGAAUAACCCAGCCCAGAAACGGCCAAAGAGCCAGGGAAGGGGCCCCGCCUCUCACUCUGCUACCAGCUUCCAGGCGGUUCCCUUUCGCUGGACCGGGGCAUCCUCGCAGCCCAGUCCUGGACCCAGCUCUGCGUCCCUGACCUGCCACAGCUGGAAAAAAGAAAAAGAGAUAUUUGUUUUUAUUUAAUUUGUUUAUAAAAAGAAAAGUGUUUGUUACAGAAAAUUUGGAAAUACAGAAAAGCACAAAAAAGAAAACAAAAAUUACCCGUGAGAUAACUACCAGGUAUGUUUUCUUGAAGUCCUUCUGGUAUCUUUCCCAAACCAUAUACUAUAUGUACUAGACAUGUCUGUAUGAUCAUACUAUAGGUUAUUUCAGAUCCUUUUCGCUUAAUAUGUUGUGAGUAUUUUGUGUCAUUAAGUAUUAUUCUCUAUGGGAUUUGAAAAAUAAAAUCUAAAUAUCAACUAAUUUUUUAAAUCAACUUCACUGAGGUGUAAUUUCCAUGAAGAUCUCUUUCACUUGUGCUGUUCGACGAGUUUUGACACAUGCAUACCCCCAUGUAACCAGCACCACAAUCAAGAAAAAAAAUACGAUCACCACAAAAUGUCCCCUAGUCCCCCUUGCAGGCGGGCCCUACCUCCCAGGUCCCAGGCAGACACCCAUCUGAAUCCUACCACUGUAGAUUAGUUUUACCUUUAUUUAAUUUAACAUAAGCGGGAUCAGAGAGUAGGAUCUCUUGCUCAGCAUAACUGACACUCAUGGACGUCGCUGAGUCUCUCACCAGCCCACGCCUUAUUGUUUUACGGUAUCCCAUCGUAUGGCGCCCACAGUCUGUUUACCCACUCAUCUGUGGGUGGACAGUUGGGUUAUUUCUGAUGUUCUGGCUAUUGCGAACAGAACUUUGUGAAUGCUUUAAAUUUUUAACGAGCUGUGUCACUGGCACAGGUUGAGGUAGACCCACCGUGUGGGCGUGGUCCGUGUGUUUCCUGCCUGGAGCAUCGCGCUGAGUUCAUCCUGGGUGGGUUAUCACUUUUGCCACUGUUGUCAGACAUGUUGUCCCGUUGAAGUGUUUGCUACUGUAAAUCAUGCUGCUGGGAACAGCUUUAUCCUGACACUUCUACGUACGGCUGUGUUGCUUUCCUGAGGGUAAAUUCCCAUAAGCGUGUUAGGUCAAAGGGUGUCCAUGCAUUUAAGGUCCUUGACGCACCAGGUCAGGACUUCUAGGCAUGUUCCUAUCCAGAUUCCCCCCAUUUGCUUCUCAUAAGAAGGACAGGCAUCGUGACCCCCAUCGUUCAGAUGGGAAAAC
RNAcentral lists this long non-coding RNA (3730 nucleotides) under Equus caballus (horse). RNAcentral describes it as "lncRNA (ENSECAG00000051503.1)". Lineage: Eukaryota; Metazoa; Chordata; Mammalia; Perissodactyla; Equidae. The record is from RNAcentral.